Molecule: transfer RNA, 71 nt
Filed under: Loxodonta africana (African savanna elephant)
Lineage: Eukaryota; Metazoa; Chordata; Mammalia; Proboscidea; Elephantidae
Rfam family: tRNA
About the family: Transfer RNA (tRNA) molecules are approximately 80 nucleotides in length.
Source: Rfam by way of RNAcentral
GCAGUGGUGGUUCAGCGGUAAAAUUCUUGCCUUCCAUGCAGGAGAUUCAGGUUUGAUUCCUGACCAGUGCA